This 66-nucleotide transfer RNA is filed under the name Hyposoter sp. ZJUH_2016018. RNAcentral's name for it is "tRNA-Cys". The record is from RNAcentral. Lineage: Eukaryota; Metazoa; Arthropoda; Insecta; Hymenoptera; Ichneumonidae.
AAAUUUUUAGUUUAAGAAAAAAUUUUAAAUUGCAAAUUUAAAGAUAUAUAAAUUAUAUAAAAUUUU